AUGCAUUGGUAUUCUUGGUGGAAACUGUGCUAUCCGAAGAGUGAAGGGGGCAUGGGAUUCCGAGACCUAUACUCAUUUAACCUAGCAAUGCUUUCAAAGCAAUGCUGGAGGUUGCUAAACAAUCCGGAUUCUUUAUGUGCAAAGGAAUUGAAGGCGAAAUACUUCCCUAAUGGUAGUUUACUUCAAGCCACUUUAAAGAAUGGUGCCUCCUUUACUUGGCAGAGUAUUAUGAAGGGUUGGGAGACGUUCAAAUUGGGGUAUAUCUGGCAUAUUGGGUCUGGGGAGAAAGUGAAUAUCUGGAACGAUCCAUGGGUUCCAAGCAGUGCAAAUAGAAGGGUGAUCACGCCGCGGGGUCAUACUAUUUUGUCUACAGUUAGCGGUCUCAUUGACCCAAUAAGUGAGAACUGGGACGAGGAUUUGAUUAGAGCUAUCUUUAAUCCUGUCGAUGUCCGAAGGAUACUAGAAAUCCCACUGAAUCACAAUGCUUUUGAAGAUUUCAUAGCUUGGCACCCGGACCGAAGAGGCAUCUUCUCGGUACGAUCAGCUUACCAUACUCAAUGGAUUCGGACUUUCACGACACAUGCAAAUGCAAUAGCGCAGCCAGGGAGGUCAAACACACCACCAGUUUGGAGUAUUCUAUGGAAACUCCAAAUCCCAUGUAAAGUUCAAAUUUUCUGCUGGCGGACACUACAUGGAAUCCUACCUUUAAAGUCCAUUCUCACUAACAGGCAUGUUGGCGUAUAG
RNAcentral lists this ribosomal RNA (744 nucleotides) under Triticum aestivum (bread wheat). RNAcentral describes it as "partial small subunit ribosomal RNA". The record is from RNAcentral. Lineage: Eukaryota; Viridiplantae; Streptophyta; Magnoliopsida; Poales; Poaceae.